GCCUUCGUGGUGUAAUGGUCAUAUUCGGCUCGUAUUCGAGAUUUCAUAGGUUCGAGUCCUGGCGAGGACA
Molecule: transfer RNA, 70 nt
Filed under: Stegodyphus mimosarum
Lineage: Eukaryota; Metazoa; Arthropoda; Arachnida; Araneae; Eresidae
Rfam family: tRNA
About the family: Transfer RNA (tRNA) molecules are approximately 80 nucleotides in length. Their secondary structure includes four short double-helical elements and three loops (D, anti-codon, and T loops). Further hydrogen bonds mediate the characteristic L-shaped molecular structure. tRNAs have two regions of fundamental functional importance: the anti-codon, which is responsible for specific mRNA codon recognition, and the 3' end, to which the tRNAs corresponding amino acid is attached (by aminoacyl-tRNA synthetases). tRNAs cope with the degeneracy of the genetic code in two manners: having more than one tRNA (with a specific anti-codon) for a particular amino acid; and 'wobble' base-pairing, i.e. permitting non-standard base-pairing at the 3rd anti-codon position.
Source: Rfam by way of RNAcentral